Molecule: ribosomal RNA, 876 nt
Filed under: Triticum aestivum (bread wheat)
Lineage: Eukaryota; Viridiplantae; Streptophyta; Magnoliopsida; Poales; Poaceae
Description: partial small subunit ribosomal RNA
Source: RNAcentral
AUGGUGCUUCGGCUGGGUAAGAAUAAUCUAGCCGGUCAAUUUCCUAGUUUACCUAGUCAUCUGCAAGAGCUGCACCUCUCCCACAAUGAUCUCAUUGGAACCAUUCCUUCCUCUCUUGCCAAUAUCACAACACUGAGAAUGCUCAUUUUCGCGUUUAAUAACAUUGAGGGCAAUCUCCCAAAUGACUUGGCAAAGCUGCACAAGCUGCAGUUCCUCUACGGGGCUGCUAACAAGUUGACAGGCGCGUUCCCACAUGCCAUCUUAAAUAUGUCUGCUCUCAAUGGUCUAGGUGGGGAGGUACCAUCCGACCUUGGUAACCAUCUUCCUGACCUCCAACUUCUUCAAUUGGCUAUCAACUUCUUUCAUGGCCAUAUCCCCUAUUCAUUGAUAAAUGCUUCCAAGCCAUACGAAAUAGAUAUAUCAAGUAAUAAUUUUACUGGUGUAGUACAUAGUGCUAUCGGCAAACUCACCAAACUGUCUUACUUGAAUCUUGAAUUCAAUCAAUUCCAUGCUCGUAACAAACAAGAAUGGGAGUUUAUGAGCAGCUUAGCGAAUUGCACCGAGUUACAGAUUUUCUCAAUGAAAGGGAAUCGCCUACAAGGAAAUAUACCAAGUUCAUUGGGAAACCUUUCUGAUCAGCUUCAGCAUCUCUUUUUGGGAACAAAUAAAUUAUCAGGAGGUUUUCCUUCUGGCAUAGAAAAUCUUCGAGGCCUAUUCAGUUUAGGGUUAGAAGAAAACCAGUUUACAGGUGUUUUUCCAGAAUGGCUUGGAACUCUACACAAUUUACAAGGAAUAGAGCUAGCUAACAACUCCUUUACAGGGGUUAUUCCAUCAUCCCUCACAAACUUAUCUCAGCUGACAGAACUCCUUCUAUAA